This 459-nucleotide ribosomal RNA is filed under the name uncultured bacterium. RNAcentral's name for it is "partial 16S ribosomal RNA". It matches the Rfam family "Bacterial small subunit ribosomal RNA", at positions 338 to 795 of the family's 1533-position model. The record is from RNAcentral.
CCUACGGGAGGCAGCAGUGAGGAAUAUUGGUCAAUGGCCGGGAGGCUGAACCAGCCAAGUCGCGUGAGGGAAGACGGCCCUACGGGUUGUAAACCUCUUUUGUCAGGGAGCAAGGUGCAGGUCGGGACCUGCUGUGAGAGUACCUGACGAAAAAGCAUCGGCUAACUCCGUGCCAGCAGCCGCGGUAAUACGGAGGAUGCGAGCGUUAUCCGGAUUUAUUGGGUUUAAAGGGUGCGCAGGCGGAGGCACAAGUCAGCGGUAAAAUCGCGGGGCUCAACCCCGCUCCGCCGUUGAAACUGUGGCCCUUGAGUGCGCGAAGGGUAGGCGGAAUGCGUGGUGUAGCGGUGAAAUGCAUAGAUAUCACGCAGAACUCCGAUCGCGAAGGCAGCCUACCGGCGCGCAACUGACGCUCAUGCACGAAAGCGUGGGUAUCGAACAGGAUUAGAUACCCGAGAAGUC